GGCCAGGAUGCUAGGGACACACAGUGAUAGAGGGAGGCUGAAGAUUCAAGUUUAUUAGCAGUAAGUUGCUGUUGCUCUCCCCAUCUCUUAAGAUAUCCUAUAACACCAUGUGCUCCUCUGUACCCAAAAAUAAGCCAAUUAAUUAUACUGUGAUCGUUUCUGCUGAUAAUAUACUAGCAGCAGUGAUAAAAGGAAUGUCACUAGACCAUUAUGAGAAUAAACAGUGUCAGAGAGAUGAGAGGAGAGUCAAUCCAUGGGAUUAUGUCUCCUGAAACAGAGCUUCACACCCUCCUCCGAUCCUGUCAGUGGAUGCUUGUGAUGGCUCUCUGUCAUCAACCAGGACACACACACACACACACACACACACAGACACACACACACACAGACACACAGACACAAAGACACACACACAGACACAAAGACACACACACAGACACACACACACACACACACACACACACACACACACACACACACACACACACGGGAUGAGCCUUUUAUCAAAAAUCUCAAGGCCAUCCCCAAAUAUCGUAUGCUCCUUAGAACACCAUGAUGUGUUCAGCAAUUGGAAUGGAUAACUUCUGGCUCUGCCCAGCUCUCCUCAGGAGUGUGGUCCACAAUAUCCCCGAUGGACCACUCCUUACCCUAGCCGGCAUGAGAACUGUGUAGGAAGAGAGUUUUGUGAGUCCCACCUUCCUGACCAUAGACUAGCGUCUCUUCAGGUAUUAUUUAUCAGAAUAAAAUAUCGCCUUAUAAUCCCAUAGCAAUUUUAAUUUCCACACGGUAGAUGCCAAGAUGAUAAUUUACCCUGUAGUAGAAGGUCAUACAUCAAAGAAUAUUUGGGCAGCAAAAAUUAAUCUUGAGUGAUAAACAAGGGAAUAGGACACAAAUUUGGGUCGGUAGAGGGGAGGGGCAGAUCUGUAAACAGUUGGAAAGGGUGAAUACAGUCAAAUGCACCAUAUUAAAUUCUAAGUGAUGAUGAUGCCCAUGAUGCCGAUGACAGUGAUGAUGGUGGUCUAGGCUGUAUGGAAAAUCCAGGGACUUUUGUUUUGCUUGGUUGUUGGCUGCUUUUUUUUUUUUUUUUUUUUUUUGGUUUUGUUAGAAACAGAAUGUGUUUCCACAACCUUUACAAAAGCCCAAAUAUCUCCCCACUAUGCUGAUGGGAGCACACUCCCGAGUCCCCUCAUUUUGUUGUCUGCUGUAAUAAACUUGGCUGGAGAACAGACAGGAUCCAGUCAUGUUCUGGCAGCCACGCUGACAGUGUCAGUGUGGGUAUUUACUUCAGCUUAACUUUCCUCUCGGAUUAAAAUUGUGUUCGUGUACUUUCAAGUUUGUUUUCUGUCCAAAAGAUUUUUAAUAAAACUUUAAGCACAAUUUCCUCUCUUUCACAAAGGAGGCUCUCAAAUACUGUGGAGGAUAGAAGCAAUUUUUAUGUGCAUACCUCUGGUUCCUGAGGGUCCAGCUCACUUCUGCUGUGAAUUUAAAUUAGUUCAUUUAAGUCGACGGGUCAGGAGCCACUGUCAUCAUGGUAGCCCUGUGCCUGGUUCUUAAUUAAAGGCAACAGGAGAUUAAUUUGAAACAUUAAUUUAAAAGUGCAUAU
Molecule: long non-coding RNA, 1600 nt
Filed under: Mus musculus (house mouse)
Lineage: Eukaryota; Metazoa; Chordata; Mammalia; Rodentia; Muridae
Description: long non-coding RNA chr18:69460206-69461806
Source: RNAcentral